Molecule: ribosomal RNA, 529 nt
Filed under: Clostridium haemolyticum
Lineage: Bacteria; Bacillati; Bacillota; Clostridia; Eubacteriales; Clostridiaceae
Description: bacterial LSU rRNA
Rfam family: Bacterial large subunit ribosomal RNA
Source: RNAcentral
CCCAGACCAUCAGCUAAGGUCCCAAAGUGUAAGUUAAGUGGGAAAGGAUGUGGGAUUUCUAAGACAACUAGGAUGUUGGCUUAGAAGCAGCCACUCAUUUAAAGAGUGCGUAAUAGCUCACUAGUCGAGAGAUCCUGCGCCGAAGAUGUAACGGGGCUUAAACUUACCACCGAAGCUAUGGAUGUGUACUUUGUACACGUGGUAGAGGAGCUUUCUGUACAGGUUGAAGUCAUACCGUAAGGAGUGGUGGACAGUACAGAAGUGAGAAUGCUGGCAUAAGUAGCGAAAAACAAGUGAGAAUCUUGUUGACCGAAUAUCUAAGGUUUCCUGGGGAAGGCUCGUCCUCCCAGGGUUAGUCGGGACCUAAGCCGAGGCCGAAAGGCGUAGGUGAUGGACAACUGGUUGAUAUUCCAGUACCACCAUAAUGCGUUUGACAAAUGGGAUGACGCAGGAGGAUAGGAUGUGCGCACUAUUGGAUGUGCGUCUAAGCACUUAGGGUGUUAAGUAGGCAAAUCCGCUUAACAUUAAG